This 579-nucleotide unclassified non-coding RNA is filed under the name Klasea lycopifolia. RNAcentral's name for it is "partial external transcribed spacer". The record is from RNAcentral. Lineage: Eukaryota; Viridiplantae; Streptophyta; Magnoliopsida; Asterales; Asteraceae.
UGGCUUAAUCUUUGAGACAAGCAUAUGACUACUGGCAGGAUCAACCAGGUAGCAUUCCUCUUCGACGUAGCCCACCAUGCAAGGACAAGCCGAGACAUGGCAGACAAUCGUUUUGGAGAAGCGAGAACGCUUAACGAGGGCAGAUUCAGGAUCUUAGAAGACCCAUGCCCACAUCAGGUUCCGUAUACAAGAGACCAAGCGAUGCUUCAUAGGCCACAUCAUCGWUGCAAAUGCAACAACAAGGUGGAUCACAAAGACCGCUUCAACGUUCAUCUCACGCCCCAUGAGCGACGCAUGACGAAAAGGGACAUCAUAAAACCCACACGUUACCAUCGGUUAGGUAUGCAACACAGAAAACCCACAAUAUGCUCAAGACGUUCGAAGCCUUGCCGCUAAACUGAAGAGGUAUGCACGCGUGGACGUUGCUGCGCGAGCAGACAGCCAACCACCCGUAACAAACCAAACACCACUCAUGCACCUUUACGGUCGACAUUCCCGAAAACCGCCCAACUAGUAGCGACCCACCCGGCGAAAAGCCAAGCAAGCAACCAAAAGCCAAAACAGUCCCCAGAAUGCACC